This is a long non-coding RNA of Daphnia pulex (common water flea), 331 nucleotides long. RefSeq lists it as uncharacterized. Lineage: Eukaryota; Metazoa; Arthropoda; Branchiopoda; Diplostraca; Daphniidae. The record is from RefSeq and is a predicted model, not a curated record. The transcript has 3 exons.
UCUGUGCCUGUUUACCUAUUCAUGUGUCAUCAUUUGACACAUUAAUGAUGACCAUUUUUGAAGCAACUGUGAAUGAGAUGUCUUCACUCUUCAACCCUGCAGUCAUGCCUAAAAUGGUAAUUCUCAACUGUAUCCAAGAGCUUCAGGUCCUCAUGACACCUAAAUCAAUUUUCUGUUGCACUACAAUUCCAUUUAAGAUCUAGAUUGUGGUUGAGAGAACAGCCCUCUGUGUGAUGGACCCUAAAUACUGAUUGGUGAUAUGGGAAAUGGAAAAAGAAGAAUGGAAGUUAUGCAUAUAUUUAUACGUAACAAAUGAAAUAUAAACAGUUUU